CAUGCAUGUCUAAGUACAAGCCUCAGUAAGGUGAAACCGCGAAUGGCUCAUUAAAUCACACCUAAUCUACUGGAAAGUAAGCAGUUACUUGGAUAACUGAGCUAAUUGUUGAGCUAAUACACGCUAAAAAUCCUGACGCAAGGAGGGAUGCUUUUAUUAGAUCAAAACUAGACGGCUUUGCUGUUUUUUGAUGACUCUGAAUAUCUUUGGGCUGAUCGUAUUGCCUAGUGCAGACGACGUUUCCUUCGAAGGUGUGCCCUAUCAACUGUCGACUGUGAUAUAGACGCUCACAGUGGUUUUGACGGGUAACGGGGAAUCAGGGUUCUAUUCCGGAGAGCUAGCCUUAGAAACGGCUAUCACAUCCAAGGAAGGCAGCAGGCACGCAAAUUACCCAAUGACCGAAGGUCGAGGUAGUGACGAAAAAUAACGAUACAGGACUCAUCCGAGGCCCUGUAAUUGGAAUGAGUACACUUUAAAACCGUUCCCGAGGAUCUAUUGGAGGGCAAGUCUGGUGCCAGCAGCCGCGGUAAUUCCAGCUCCAAUAGCGUAUAUUAAAGUUGUUGUGGUUAAAAAGCUCGUAGUUGGAUCUCGGCGGGCAGGAGUCGGUUUGAAUGCUUUCAAUACUGGCUCGUUUGCCCGUGUGUUUUGUCAGAGGUAGGCCGGUGCUCUUCACCGGGUGUCGGUCUAUACUGGCAGGUUUACUUUGAAAAAAUUAGAGUGCUCAAAGCAAGCAUCAUCGCUUGAAUAUUCGUGCAUGGAAUAAUAGAAUAGGAAGUCGUUUCUAUUUUGUUGGUUUUCGGAAAUUGACUUAAUGAUUAAUAGGGACAGUCGGGGGCAUUUGUAUUCAAACGACAGAGGUGAAAUUCUUGGACCGUUUGAAGACAAACUACUGCGAAAGCAUUUGCCAAGAAUGUUUUCAUUAAUCAAGAACGAAAGUUAGAGGUUCGAAGGCGAUUAGAUACCGCCCUAGUUCUAACCAUAAACGAUGCCAGCUAGCGAUCUGCAGGCGUUUUACUUUACGACCUUGCAGGGAGCUUCCGGGAAACCAAAGCUUGUGGGUUCCAGGGGAAGUAUGGUUGCAAAGCUGAAACUUAAAGGAAUUGACGGAAGGGCACCACCAGGAGUGGAGCCUGUGGCUUAAUUUGACUCAACACGGGAAAUCUCACCAGGCCCGGACACGGGAAGGAUUGACAGAUUGAUAGCUCUUUCUUGAUUUCGUGGGUAGUGGUGCAUGGCCGUUCUUAGUUGGUGGAGUGAUUUGUCUGGUUAAUUCCGAAUAACGAACGAGACUCUGUCCUGCUAACUAGUGUCAGCUUCUCUUUUGAGCUGAUUAUUCUUCUUAGAGGGACUGGUAGCUCUUAGCUACACGAGAUUGAGCAAUA
RNAcentral lists this ribosomal RNA (1382 nucleotides) under Calanipeda aquaedulcis. Its description in RNAcentral is "SSU rRNA". It matches the Rfam family "Eukaryotic small subunit ribosomal RNA", at positions 50 to 1455 of the family's 1831-position model. Lineage: Eukaryota; Metazoa; Arthropoda; Copepoda; Calanoida; Pseudodiaptomidae. The record is from RNAcentral.